RNAcentral lists this ribosomal RNA (734 nucleotides) under uncultured marine bacterium. RNAcentral's name for it is "bacterial SSU rRNA". It matches the Rfam family "Bacterial small subunit ribosomal RNA", at positions 36 to 816 of the family's 1533-position model. The record is from RNAcentral.
CUGGCGGCAGGCCUAACACAUGCAAGUCGAGCGCUACCUUCGGGUGGAGCGGCGGACGGGUUAGUAACGCGUGGGAACGUACCCAGAUCUAAGGAAUAGCCACUGGAAACGGUGAGUAAUACCUUAUACGCCCUUCGGGGGAAAGAUUUAUCGGAUUUGGAUCGGCCCGCGUUAGAUUAGAUAGUUGGUGGGGUAAUGGCCUACCAAGUCUACGAUCUAUAGCUGGUUUGAGAGGAUGAUCAGCCACACUGGGACUGAGACACGGCCCAGACUCCUACGGGAGGCAGCAGUAGGGAAUCUUAGACAAUGGGGGCAACCCUGAUCUAGCCAUGCCGCGUGUGUGAUGAAGGCCCUAGGGUCGUAAAGCACUUUCGCCAGAGAUGAUAAUGACAGUAUCUGGUAAAGAAACCCCGGCUAACUCCGUGCCAGCAGCCGCGGUAAUACGGAGGGGGUUAGCGUUGUUCGGAAUUACUGGGCGUAAAGCGCACGUAGGCGGAUUAGUAAGUUAGAGGUGAAAUCCCAGGGCUCAACCCUGGAACUGCCUUUAAUACUGCUAGUCUUGAGUUCGAGAGAGGUAAGUGGAAUUCCGAGUGUAGAGGUGAAAUUCGUAGAUAUUCGGAGGAACACCAGUGGCGAAGGCGGCUUACUGGCUCGAUACUGACGCUGAGGUGCGAAAGUGUGGGGAGCAAACAGGAUUAGAUACCCUGGUAGUCCACACCGUAAACGAUGAAUGC